AACGAACGCUGGCGGCGUGCCUAACACAUGCAAGUCGAACGAGAAAGGGGCUUCGGCCCUGAGUAAAGUGGCGCACGGGUGAGUAACACGUGGGUAACCUGCCUCUAAGAUUGGGAUAACCUGUCGAAAGACGAGCUAAUACCAAAUAAGACCACAGUUCUCUCGGGGACAGAGGUCAAAGGUAGCCUCUAUUUAUAAGCUAUCGCUCAGAGAUGGGCCUGCGCACCAUAGCUAGUUGGUAGGGUAAUGGCCUACCAAGGCAAAGAUGGUUAGCUGGUCUGAGAGGAUGAUCAGCCACACUGGAACUGAGACACGGUCCAGACUCCUACGGGAGGCAGCAGUGGGAAUAUUGCGCAAUGGGCGAAAGCCUGACGCAGCAACGCCGCGUGAGUGAUGAAGGCC
RNAcentral lists this ribosomal RNA (402 nucleotides) under uncultured bacterium. Its description in RNAcentral is "bacterial SSU rRNA". It matches the Rfam family "Bacterial small subunit ribosomal RNA", at positions 29 to 416 of the family's 1533-position model. The record is from RNAcentral.